This 301-nucleotide ribosomal RNA is filed under the name uncultured bacterium. Its description in RNAcentral is "partial 16S ribosomal RNA". It matches the Rfam family "Bacterial small subunit ribosomal RNA", at positions 509 to 807 of the family's 1533-position model. The record is from RNAcentral.
CAGCCGCCACGGUAAUACGUAGGUGGCAAGCGUUGUCCGGAAUUAUUGGGCGUAAAGGGCUCGCAGGCGGUUUCUUAAGUCUGAUGUGAAAGCCCCCGGCUCAACCGGGGAGGGUCAUUGGAAACUGGGAAACUUGAGUGCAGAAGAGGAGAGUGGAAUUCCACGUGUAGCGGUGAAAUGCGUAGAGAUGUGGAGGAACACCAGUGGCGAAGGCGACUCUCUGGUCUGUAACUGACGCUGAGGAGCGAAAGCGUGGGGAGCGAACAGGAUUAGAUACCCCAGUAGUCCCUGUCCCUUAAAC